This 1383-nucleotide ribosomal RNA is filed under the name metagenome. Its description in RNAcentral is "bacterial SSU rRNA". It matches the Rfam family "Bacterial small subunit ribosomal RNA". The record is from RNAcentral.
CGGAACGUACCAUUCAGUGGGGGAUAACGUAGCGAAAGUUACGCUAAUACCGCAUAUUCUGUGAGCAGGAAAGCAGGGGAUCGCAAGACCUUGCGCUGAUUGAGCGGCCGAUAUCAGAUUAGCUUGUUGGUGAGGUAAAAGCUCACCAAGGCGACGAUCUGUAGCGGGUCUGAGAGGAUGAUCCGCCACACUGGAACUGAGACACGGUCCAGACUCCUACGGGAGGCAGCAGUGGGGAAUUUUGGACAAUGGGGGCAACCCUGAUCCAGCCAUGCCGCGUGAGUGAAGAAGGCCUUCGGGUUGUAAAGCUCUUUCAGCCGGGAAGAAAACGCAUGGGUUAAUACCCUGUGUGGAUGACGGUACCGGAAUAAGAAGCACCGGCUAACUACGUGCCAGCAGCCGCGGUAAUACGUAGGGUGCGAGCGUUAAUCGGAAUUACUGGGCGUAAAGCGUGCGCAGGCGGUUUUGUAAGACAGGCGUGAAAUCCCCGGGCUUAACCUGGGAACUGCGUUUGUGACUGCAAGGCUAGAGUACGGCAGAGGGGGGUGGAAUUCCACGUGUAGCAGUGAAAUGCGUAGAGAUGUGGAGGAACACCAAUGGCGAAGGCAGCCCCCUGGGUCGAUACUGACGCUCAUGCACGAAAGCGUGGGUAGCAACAGGAUUAGAUACCCUGGUAGUCCACGCCCUAAACGAUGUCAACUAGGUGUUGGGAGGGUAAAACCUUUUAGUACCGGAGCUAACGCGUGAAGUUGACCGCCUGGGGAGUACGGCCGCAAGGUUAAAACUCAAAGGAAUUGACGGGGACCCGCACAAGCGGUGGAUGAUGUGGAUUAAUUCGAUGCAACGCGAAAAACCUUACCUACCCUUGACAUGCCAAGAACUUUCCAGAGAUGGAUUGGUGCCCGAAAGGGAACUUGGACACAGGUGCUGCAUGGCUGUCGACAGCUCGUGUCGUGAGAUGUUGGGUUAAGUCCCGCAACGAGCGCAACCCUUGUCGUUAAUUGCCAUCAUUUAGUUGGGCACUUUAACGAGACUGCCGGUGACAAACCGGAGGAAGGUGGGGAUGACGUCAAGUCCUCAUGGCCCUUAUGGGUAGGGCUUCACACGUCAUACAAUGGUCGGUACCAAGGGUCGCCAAGCCGCGAGGUGGAGCCAAUCCCAGAAAGCCGAUCGUAGUCCGGAUCGCAGUCUGCAACUCGACUGCGUGAAGUCGGAAUCGCUAGUAAUCGUGGAUCAGAAUGUCACGGUGAAUACGUUCCCGGGUCUUGUACACACCGCCCGUCACACCAUGGGAGCGGGUUCCGCCAGAAGUAGGUAGCCUAACCGCAAGGAGGGCGCUUACCACGGCGGGGUUCGUGACUGGGGUGAAGUCGUAACAAGGUA